Molecule: long non-coding RNA, 306 nt
Filed under: Homo sapiens (human)
Lineage: Eukaryota; Metazoa; Chordata; Mammalia; Primates; Hominidae
Description: non-protein coding LINC00426:22
Source: RNAcentral
AUGAAAAGUCCACAAAAGAGAAUUUUCUGAUGUGAGAAUGGAGGGUGUUGCCUGCAACUACCCCAGAUCCCUGCGGUGGCAGUUUAAGCCGCCUCCUGGAGCAGAUUGUUAAGCUGAUGCGAGUCUGGGCUCUGCCUCACCACUUGUCUCAGAGAUCACUAAUUCUCAAGCCAGCUCUCAUGUCAAAAGGACAUGCAGACAGUCUAUGGAGAGGCCAUGGGGACUCUAGCCAACAGCCAGUGAGGGCCUGAAGCCAUGAACACUGUGAGCACACUUGGAAGUGGCUCCUCCAGCCCCAGUCAAGCC